Molecule: non-coding RNA, 70 nt
Organism: Podarcis lilfordi (Lilford's wall lizard)
Lineage: Eukaryota; Metazoa; Chordata; Lepidosauria; Squamata; Lacertidae
Source: the annotation of a GenBank genome assembly
GCUGUAGCUCAGUGGUAAGAAAAUCUGCUUUGCAUGCAGAAGGUCUCAUGUUCAAUCCCUGGUAGAACUG